This 457-nucleotide ribosomal RNA is filed under the name Acanthamoeba sp. Ac55. RNAcentral describes it as "SSU rRNA". It matches the Rfam family "Eukaryotic small subunit ribosomal RNA", at positions 741 to 1086 of the family's 1831-position model. The record is from RNAcentral. Lineage: Eukaryota; Discosea; Longamoebia; Acanthamoebidae.
GCCCAGAUCGUUUACCGUGAAAAAAUUAGAGUGUUCAAAGCAGGCAGAUCCAAUUUUCUGCCACCGAAUACAUUAGCAUGGGAUAAUGGAAUAGGACCCUGUCCUCCUAUUUUCAGUUGGUUUUGGCAGCGCGAGGACUAGGGUAAUGAUUAAUAGGGAUAGUUGGGGGCAUUAAUAUUUAAUUGUCAGAGGUGAAAUUCUUGGAUUUAUGAAAGAUUAACUUCUGCGAAAGCAUCUGCCAAGGAUGUUUUCAUUAAUCAAGAACGAAAGUUAGGGGAUCGAAGACGAUCAGAUACCGUCGUAGUCUUAACCAUAAACGAUGCCGACCAGCGAUUAGGAGACGUUGAAUACAAAACACCACCAUCGGCGCGGUCGUCCUUGGCGUCUCGGUCCUUCACGGGGCCGGGGCGCGGGGGCGGCUUAGCCCGGUGGCACCGGUGAAUGACUCCCCUAGCAG